Molecule: ribosomal RNA, 250 nt
Filed under: uncultured bacterium
Lineage: Bacteria
Description: partial 16S ribosomal RNA
Rfam family: Bacterial small subunit ribosomal RNA
Source: RNAcentral
UACGUAGGGGGCGAGCGUUAUCCGGAUUUACUGGGCAUAAAGAGCAUGUAGGCGGUAACUUAAGUCAGAUGUAAAAGUCCUCGGCUCAACCGAGGUUCGGCAUUUGAUACUGAGAUACUAGAGAUCAGGAGAGGAAAGCGGAACUCACAGUGUAGCGGUGAAAUGCGUAGAUAUUGUGAGGAACACCAGUUGCGAAGGCGGCUUUCUGGACUGAAUCUGACGCUGAGAUGCGAAAGCGUGGGGAGCAAAC